Ciona intestinalis (vase tunicate) is the source of this 310-nucleotide non-coding RNA. Lineage: Eukaryota; Metazoa; Chordata; Ascidiacea; Phlebobranchia; Cionidae. The record is from RefSeq and is a predicted model, not a curated record.
GGACGAAUUGCACGAUGUCCCGUGCGCACUGUCGGCCCGAUCUGUCGCAUAAUCGCACUUCAUCGCCAUCUAGUGCAUUCAUCUCCGAGAAGUCGGCUCCACCUUGUGACAACAUUGAUCUAUUAAUAACAUGAUGAACACAUACUCACCAACCCCGACUAUGAUGAUCGACAUUGGAAGAUGAGAUGCAGCAACAAUCGCGUCCUUGGUUUGCACGAAGUCCGAUAUCACACCGUCCGUAAGAAUAAGCAAAAUGUAAUAAUUCUGUGGGUUCAAGAGAUUGCAGUAAAGGAGCAAAUCCAUUUCAAAA